GCGGACGUGGCGAAAUUGGUAGACGCACUGUCUUCAGGCGGCAGCGCCUUCGAGUGUGAAGGUUCGAAUCCUUUUGUCCGCA
RNAcentral lists this transfer RNA (82 nucleotides) under Cyclobacteriaceae bacterium. Its description in RNAcentral is "tRNA-Leu". It matches the Rfam family "tRNA". From Rfam's summary of the family: Transfer RNA (tRNA) molecules are approximately 80 nucleotides in length. Their secondary structure includes four short double-helical elements and three loops (D, anti-codon, and T loops). Further hydrogen bonds mediate the characteristic L-shaped molecular structure. tRNAs have two regions of fundamental functional importance: the anti-codon, which is responsible for specific mRNA codon recognition, and the 3' end, to which the tRNAs corresponding amino acid is attached (by aminoacyl-tRNA synthetases). tRNAs cope with the degeneracy of the genetic code in two manners: having more than one tRNA (with a specific anti-codon) for a particular amino acid; and 'wobble' base-pairing, i.e. permitting non-standard base-pairing at the 3rd anti-codon position. Lineage: Bacteria; Pseudomonadati; Bacteroidota; Cytophagia; Cytophagales; Cyclobacteriaceae. The record is from RNAcentral.